UACGUAGGGUGCGAGCGUUGUCCGGAAUUAUUGGGCGUAAAGAGCUUGUAGGCGGUUUGUCGCGUCUGCCGUGAAAAUCCGGGGCUCAACCCCGGACUUGCGGUGGGUACGGGCAGACUAGAGUGUGGUAGGGGAGACUGGAAUUCCUGGUGUAGCGGUGAAAUGCGCAGAUAUCAGGAGGAACACCGAUGGCGAAGGCGGCAUCCUGGACCGGCAUUGACGCUGAGGCGCGAAAGCCAGGGGAGCAAACGGG
This 253-nucleotide ribosomal RNA is filed under the name uncultured bacterium. Its description in RNAcentral is "partial 16S ribosomal RNA". It matches the Rfam family "Bacterial small subunit ribosomal RNA", at positions 524 to 776 of the family's 1533-position model. The record is from RNAcentral.